ACAGGGACACCCAUGUGGCAAGAAACUGAGACCUCCUGCUAACAACCAAAACCGAUUGGCCAGGGAUGUGAGGGAGCCCCCUUGAGAGUGAACCUUCCAACCCCACUCCAGCCUUCGGAUGAUGCAGCCAUGGCCGACUGCCUGACUGCAGCCUUGUGGAAAACCCUGAGCCGGAACCAUCCAGUUAAGUGGCUCCUGAAAGCCUGACCCACAGACACUGUGAGAGACAAUAAAUGCUCACGGCUGCUUUAAGCCACUAUGUUUGGGAGGUAAUUUUUGGCAAGCAGCAACAGAUAACGAAUAUGUAUCCCGUAUAUUGGGCAUAUCAUUACUUAGUAGUUCAGAUAUUGAAAGUCAGGUGUCACAUAACAGCAGGUUUUGUACUCUCCCCCCCAUGUAGGUUGCGAUGCCUUGAAAAAAAUCUAGCUUUUACUCUCUGAUUUAAAGGCACAGCAUCAUGGGGUACUUCCUUUCUCGCCCCCAAAUGCAGCCGUCUACAGCGAAUCUUAGGAAUACCAAGACCGGUUCCUUACAUGAAAGAUCUAUUUCAAACUUCUUGGCAUUUAAAAUGUUAAUCUUUCUAGAGCCGAAGGUUAAACCAGUCUCUAGAUUUUUCAGAGAUACUACCGAUUCACUCUGGCCACCGGACUCUUUAAUUUCAAACAGAGCAUCGUUAAGACUCCAUUGAAGCAGGACUGACUCCAAAUCAGGAAACAACUCUCAGCUUUCACAAAAACCUUUCAGAGCAGCUCCCUGGGCUCGUCUCUCCUGCUGUCCCCGUCGGAAAAUCCAUACCCACAACCUUUCCCAGCCUUUCGUCUGCCUCUGGAGAAUCAGGGAAGCCAAUGGGAGCAUUGUUCGCUCGACAACCGGGCUGUCCUUCAGGGUACAGACGCGCGGUGGGCGUCAUUGACCACAGGAGCGUAUGAGAAAGGAAGCCUUAGGUAUUGUGCCUCAUGGCACAGGUUCUGGUGGCCCCUCCCUCGGGAGGCUUGGCUUGGGAUCGCUUCUGUUUUGCGGUACCGUGUGUAACCUUGGCAUGCAAUCAGCAGAGAAAAUAUUCAUUAUUGCCUGACUGUCUGCCGAAGACAAUUUCAAUUAUUCUCGCAUUUCAAUGGAUGAAGAAGCCCUUUAGGCUGGCCCCGGAGAUUAGACUUACAGGCUCCGUAAAUUAGGAAAGUUACAAUCAGUAUAUUAUCUGGCAGGCAGCUGUGGGAUACGGCACAGCAGGCAAAGAGAGACAAAUUGCUAUAUUCCGGUCGCGGUUUUGAUAUAUCAAUUUUCAAGUUUAACACACACAUUUGGGAAAGAAUGAUUUUGCAUUUCUUAAAUCACUUUUAACUGCCUGCACUCGAAGUUUCUGAACCUGUAACUUGAAUAGCCGGCUUGCCUUGCUGACGUUUUGUUUUAAAGCCCAAUUUCAGCUCGGAAAAAAUAUUGCUGAGGACAGAGCUUGGGAAUGAAUCUUUCCUAAAGUUAUUCAAAUAAUAUAAUAUAUGGCAGUUAAGCAGAAUAUUCCAUUUGCAGAAAUGUGAAUGAUGUCCCAUAUAAAGGCUUUUUCUUUAA
Herpailurus yagouaroundi (jaguarundi) is the source of this 1566-nucleotide long non-coding RNA. RefSeq lists it as uncharacterized. NCBI's taxonomy places the organism in Eukaryota, Metazoa, Chordata, Mammalia, Carnivora, Felidae. The record is from RefSeq and is a predicted model, not a curated record. The transcript is spliced from 2 exons.